CCUACGGGAGGCAGCAGUGGGGAAUAUUGGACAAUGGGCGAAAGCCUGAUCCAGCAAUGCCGCGUGAGUGAUGAAGGCCUUAGGGUUGUAAAGCUCUUUUACCCGGGAUGAUAAUGACAGUACCGGGAGAAUAAGCUCCGGCUAACUCCGUGCCAGCAGCCGCGGUAAUACGGAGGGAGCUAGCGUUGUUCGGAAUUACUGGGCGUAAAGCGUACGUAGGCGACUAUUCAAGUCAGAGGUGAAAGCCCGGGGCUCAACCCCGGAACUGCCUUUGAAACUAGGUAGCUAGAGUCUUGGAGAGGUUAGUGGAAUUCCGAGUGUAGAGGUGAAAUUCGUAGAUAUUCGGAAGAACACCAGUGGCGAAGGCGACUAACUGGACAAGUACUGACGCUGAGGUACGAAAGCGUGGGGAGCAAACAGGAUUAGAUACCCUGGUAGUCCACGCCGUAAACGAUGAUAACUAGCUGUCCGGGCACUUGGUGCUUGGGUGGCGCAGCUACGACAUUAAGUUAUCCGUCCGUCGGGUAGGUACGGUCGUCGAGAAGUUAAACUAACAAACGGAAGUUAGUACGGACGUAGAGACGUAGACCGAACGGACGACGACGAGGGAGUAGG
This 615-nucleotide ribosomal RNA is filed under the name uncultured bacterium. RNAcentral describes it as "bacterial SSU rRNA". The stretch from base 1 to 518 matches the Rfam family "Bacterial small subunit ribosomal RNA", at positions 338 to 873 of the family's 1533-position model. The record is from RNAcentral.